Molecule: ribosomal RNA, 627 nt
Filed under: Lactarius sp. GAL15392
Lineage: Eukaryota; Fungi; Basidiomycota; Agaricomycetes; Russulales; Russulaceae
Description: LSU rRNA
Rfam family: Eukaryotic large subunit ribosomal RNA
Source: RNAcentral
UAAGCGGAGGAAAAGAAACUAACAAGGAUUCCCCUAGUAACUGCGAGUGNAGCGGGAAAAGCUCAAAUUUAAAAUCUGGUGGUCUUUGGCCGUCCGAGUUGUAAUUUAGAGAAGCGUCUUCCGCGCCGGACCGUGCACAAGUCUCCUGGAAUGGAGCGUCAUAGAGGGUGAGAAUCCCGUCUUUGGCACGGAUGCCCGGUGCUUCUGUGAUGCGCUCUCGAAGAGUCGAGUUGUUUGGGAAUGCAGCUCAAAAUGGGUGGUGAACUCCAUCUAAAGCUAAAUAUUGGCGAGAGACCGAUAGCGAACAAGUACCGUGAGGGAAAGAUGAAAAGCACUUUGGAAAGAGAGUGAAACAGUACGUGAAAUUGUUGAAAGGGAAACGCUUGAAGUCAGUCGCGUCGACCGAGACUCAGCCUUGCCUCGGCUUGGUGUACUUCUCGGCCCGACGGGUCAGCGUCAAUUUUGCUCCUCGGAUAAUGGCAAGGGAAAGGUGGCACCUUUACGGGUGUGUUAUAGUCUCCUGUCGCAUGCGAGGGGUGGGAUUGAGGAACUCAGCGCGCACCUCGGUGUCGGGGCUUCUGCCCACGUCACGCGCUUAGGAUGCUGGCGUAAUGGCUUUAAACGACC